This 557-nucleotide ribosomal RNA is filed under the name Arthrobacter sp. N6. RNAcentral describes it as "partial 16S ribosomal RNA". The record is from RNAcentral. Lineage: Bacteria; Bacillati; Actinomycetota; Actinomycetes; Micrococcales; Micrococcaceae.
AUACGGUAUACCUUGUUACAGACUAUAUUCCACAAUCGCCAGUCCACACCUUCGACAGCUCCUUCCCACAAGGGGUUAGGCCACCGGCUUUCGGGUGUUACCAACUUUCGUGGACUUGACGGCCGGUGUGUCACAAGGCCCGGGAACACGUAUUCACCGCAAGCGUUGCUGAUCUGCGAUUACUAGCGACUCCGACUUCAUGGGGUCGAGUUGCAGAACCCCAAUCCGAACUGAAACCGGCUUUUGGGGAUUAGCUCCACCUAACAGUAUCGCAACCCUUUGUACCGGCCAUUGUAGCAUGCGUGAAGCCCAAGACAUAGGGGGCAUGAUGAUUUGACGUCGUCCCCACCUUCCUCCGAGUUGACCCCGGCAGUCUCCUAUGAGUCCCACCAUACGUGCUGGCACAUAGACGAGGGUUGCGCUCGUUGCGGGACUAACCAACAUCUACGACCGACUGCGACACCAUGCCCACUUGUAACCGACCGAAGCGGGGCACUGUUCAGGUUACGGUAUGAACCUGGAGGUUUCGGUGAUCAAUAUCGAUGCUCGCUUGCGCC